CAUCAUAUUCCUUGUUAUGUGGCAACCACUUCUGAAAAAAUACUAAAAUAGUGUUGUUGCAAUUUCCAACCUAGCAAUUGAUUCUAGGAAAAUAGUGAUGCUACAAUGGUAGGUAGGGAAACUAAGGAAGUUGGACGCUCAAGACAUUAGCAUACCCUUGGACGCUCGUAAGCAAUUGAACCAUCUUCACCAUCCCUGGGACUAGACGGUGCUGCCACUUGCUCUGCUGUCAUACUCUUAAGACCAAGAAUAUUGACAAGAGAAUCAAAACCAAAUAAUUCCAAUUUGUGUUCCCCCUCUGAGGUAUUGACACUUCCGUUAGCAGGAAUGCCCCCUUGACUUGCAUCAGAAUGCAUGUUUUCUGGGAUAACUAAUUUUGCCUUCUUGUGGUUAGUUUGGUGAGAAACGGGGGAGGAUGAAGAUCCAGGAUCGAUGGAGGACAUCUCGAGUACUGCGCGAUCGUUAGCGACGACCGGACGGUACUUGCGACCACCGUGCUUGGCUUGGAAUUCGUCUUCCAUACCGCUUUCCACAUCUUCAUUGUCCAUUGUUGAAGAUCUAUAUUCCUUCCUUGGCAAAGAAAUAUAGAUCCAAUUCGAAAACGAAACUAAAGGAAAAUUACUUUCUUAAUAGAGAAGAAAUUAAAGGCCCUAACGGAAAGAUCUCAGAGUCUCAGACUGGAAAUGAAAGUUGAAUUGUAUUUAGAAAGAGAGAGAGGAAAAAACGUUCUUUCUUGGUUGGUUCCAGCUUUUAUGUUCAAUACAAUUACAAACAGACGAGAGAAGAAGGGGAUGGAUGAUGAUGG
RNAcentral lists this unclassified non-coding RNA (805 nucleotides) under Hevea brasiliensis (rubber tree). The record is from RNAcentral. Lineage: Eukaryota; Viridiplantae; Streptophyta; Magnoliopsida; Malpighiales; Euphorbiaceae.